GACGAACGUUGGCGGCGUGCCUAAUACAUGCAAGUCAACUGAAAUACCGGUAGCAAUACUGGUAUGGAGGUGGCGCACGGGUGAGUAACACGUAGGUAAUCUGCCUUCAGGUCUGACAUAACCCAUCGAAAGGUGAGCUAAUAUCAGAUGAUGCAGCGGCUUGACAUCAAGACAGUUGUUAAAGCUUCGGCGCCUGAAGAUGAGCCUGCGCUGAUUAGCUAGUUGGCGGGUAACGGCCACCAAGGCUGCGAUCAGUAGCUGGUCUGAGAGGAUGAUCAGUCACACUGGAACU
This 292-nucleotide ribosomal RNA is filed under the name uncultured bacterium. RNAcentral's name for it is "partial 16S ribosomal RNA". It matches the Rfam family "Bacterial small subunit ribosomal RNA", at positions 28 to 320 of the family's 1533-position model. The record is from RNAcentral.